Molecule: ribosomal RNA, 253 nt
Filed under: uncultured bacterium
Lineage: Bacteria
Description: partial 16S ribosomal RNA
Rfam family: Bacterial small subunit ribosomal RNA
Source: RNAcentral
UACGGAGGGUGCAAGCGUUAUCCGGAUUCACUGGGUUUAAAGGGUGCGUAGGUGGCCUGUUAAGUCAGGGGUGAAAGACGGUAGCUCAACUAUCGCAGUGCCCUUGAUACUGAUGGGCUUGAAUAAACUAGAGGUAGGCGGAAUGUGACAAGUAGCGGUGAAAUGCAUAGAUAUGUCACAGAACACCAAUUGCGAAGGCAGCUUACUAUGGUUUUAUUGACACUGAGGCACGAAAGCGUGGGGAUCAAACAGG